RNAcentral lists this ribosomal RNA (395 nucleotides) under uncultured bacterium. RNAcentral's name for it is "bacterial SSU rRNA". It matches the Rfam family "Bacterial small subunit ribosomal RNA", at positions 362 to 774 of the family's 1533-position model. The record is from RNAcentral.
UAGUGCACAAUGGGCGCAAGCCUGAUGCAGCGACGCCGCGUGAGUGAAGAAGUAUCUCGGUAUGUAAAGCUAUAUCAGCAGGGAAGAANNAGACGGUACCUGACUAAGAAGCCCCGGCUAACUACGUGCCAGAAGCCGCGGUAAUACGUAGGGGGCAAGCGUUAUCCGGAUUUACUGGGUGUAAAGGGAGCGUAGACGGCGACGCAAGUCUGGAGUGAAAGCCCGGGGCCCAACCCCGGAACUGCUUUGGAAACUGUGCUGCUGGGGUGCAGGAGAGGUAAGUGGAAUUCCUAGUGUAGCGGUGAAAUGCGUAGAUAUUAGGAGGAACACCAGUGGCGAAGGCGGCUUACUGGACUGUAACUGACGUUGAGGCUCGAAAGCGUGGGGAGCAAACA